UCGAGAAUCAUUCACAAUGGGCGAAAGCCUGAUGGUGUGACGCCGCGUGGAGGAUGAAGGUCUUCGGAUUGUAAACUCCUGUCAAGUGAGAGUAAAGUUGGGCGUUAACUGCGUGCCAAUAUGAGAGUAUCACUAGAGGAAGAGACGGCUAACUCUGUGCCAGCAGCCGCGGUAAUACAGAGGUCUCAAGCGUUGUUCGGAAUCACUGGGCGUAAAGGGUGCGUAGGCUGCAUGGUAAGUCAGAGGUGAAAUCCCGGAGCUCAACUUCGGAAUUGCCUCCGAUACUGCCGUGCUUGAGGACUGGAGAGGAGUCUGGAAUUCACAGUGGAGCAGUGAAAUGCGUAGAUAUUGUGAGGAACACUAGUUGCGAAGGCGAGACUCUGGACAGUUUCUGACGCUGAGGCACGAAGGCCAGGGGAGCAAACG
RNAcentral lists this ribosomal RNA (426 nucleotides) under uncultured bacterium. RNAcentral's name for it is "bacterial SSU rRNA". It matches the Rfam family "Bacterial small subunit ribosomal RNA", at positions 355 to 774 of the family's 1533-position model. The record is from RNAcentral.